GACGGAGGGCGCAAACGUUGUUCGGAAUCACUGGGCGUAAAGGGCGCGUAGGCGGGACUGUAAGUCCGAGGUGAAAGCCCGGGGCUCAACCCCGGGACUGCCUUGGAAACUGCAGUCCUCGAGUGCAGGAGAGGAAGGCGGAAUUCCAGGUGUAGCGGUGGAAUGCGUAGAUAUCUGGAAGAACACCAGUGGCGAAGGCGGCCUUCUGGACUGACACUGACGCUGAGGCGCGAAAGCUAGGGGAGCAAACAGG
This 253-nucleotide ribosomal RNA is filed under the name uncultured bacterium. Its description in RNAcentral is "partial 16S ribosomal RNA". It matches the Rfam family "Bacterial small subunit ribosomal RNA", at positions 524 to 776 of the family's 1533-position model. The record is from RNAcentral.